UAUUGGACAAUGGGCGCAAGCCUGAUCCAGCCAUGCCGCGUGGAUGAUGAAGGCCUUAGGGUUGUAAAGUCCUUUCGACGGGGAAGAUAAUGACGGUACCCGUAGAAGAAGCCCCGGCUAACUUCGUGCCAGCAGCCGCGGUAAUACGAAGGGGGCUGGCGUUGCUCGGAAUCACUGGGCGUAAAGCGCACGUAGGCGGACUCUUAAGUCGGUGGUGAAAUCCUGGAGCUCAACUCCAGAACUGCCUUCGAUACUGAGAGUCUUGAGUCCGAGAGAGGUGAGUGGAACUGCGAGUGUAGAGGUGAAAUUCGUAGAUAUUCGCAAGAACACCAGUGGCGAAGGUGGCUCACUGGCUCGGUACUGACGCUGAGUGCGAAA
RNAcentral lists this ribosomal RNA (378 nucleotides) under uncultured bacterium. RNAcentral describes it as "bacterial SSU rRNA". It matches the Rfam family "Bacterial small subunit ribosomal RNA", at positions 362 to 758 of the family's 1533-position model. The record is from RNAcentral.